GACAGAGGUGCCGAGCGUUAGGCGGAAUCACUGGGCUUAAAGCGUGUGUAGGCGGGCCGUUAAGUGCCUUGUGAAAUCCCCCGGCUCAACCGGGGAACUGCUGGGCAGACUGGCGGUCUUGAGAGACCUAGGGGCCAUCGGAACAAGUGGUGGAGCGGUGAAAUGCGUAGAGAUCGUAAGGAAGACCAGUGGCGAAGGCGGGUCUCUGGACAGUUCCUGACACUGAGGCACGAAGGCCAGGGGAGCAAACGGG
This 253-nucleotide ribosomal RNA is filed under the name uncultured bacterium. RNAcentral's name for it is "partial 16S ribosomal RNA". It matches the Rfam family "Bacterial small subunit ribosomal RNA", at positions 524 to 776 of the family's 1533-position model. The record is from RNAcentral.